AGAGUUUGAUCCUGGCUCAGAAUGAACGCUGGCGGCGUGCUUAACACAUGCAAGUCGUACGAGAAAUCCUUAGCUUGCUAGGGAGAGUAAAGUGGCGCACGGGUGAGUAUCGCGUGGGUAAUCUACCCUUGAAUUCAGGAUAACACUUCGAAAGGGGUGCUAAUACUGGAUAAUAUCCUGAUGGUUUCGGCCAUAAGGAUCAAAGAUAGCCUCUACAUGUAAGCUAUUGUUUGGGGAUGAGCCCGCGUACCAUUAGCUAGUUGGUGGGGUAAGAGCCUACCAAGGCAACGAUGGUUAGCUGGUCUGAGAGGAUGAUCAGCCACACUGGAACUGAAACACGGUCCAGACUCCUACGGGAGGCAGCAGUGAGGAAUUUUGCGCAAUGGGGGAAACCCUGACGCAGCAACGCCGCGUGAGUGAAGAAGGCUUUCGGGUCGUAAAGCUCUGUCAAGAGGGAAGAACGUGGGAGAUGGUAAUACUGUUUUCUAUUGACGGUACCUCUGAAGGAAGCACCGGCUAACUCCGUGCCAGCAGCCGCGGUAAUACGGGGGGUGCAAGCGUUAUUCGGAUUUAUUGGGCGUAAAGAGCGCGUAGGCGGUUUACCAAGUCAGAUGUGAAAGCCCUGGGCUCAACCUGGGAAGUGCAUUUGAAACUAGUAGACUUGAGUAUGGGAGAGGGAAGUGGAAUUCCUGGUGUAGAGGUGAAAUUCGUAGAUAUCAGGAGGAACACCGGUGGCGAAGGCGACUUCCUGGACCAAUACUGACGCUGAGGCGCGAAGGCGUGGGGAGCAAACAGGAUUAGAUACCCUGGUAGUCCACGCAGUAAACGGUGAUCACUAGGUGUAGCGGGUAUUGACCCCUGCUGUGCCGCAGUUAACGCAUUAAGGA
This 887-nucleotide ribosomal RNA is filed under the name uncultured bacterium. RNAcentral describes it as "bacterial SSU rRNA". It matches the Rfam family "Bacterial small subunit ribosomal RNA", at positions 8 to 867 of the family's 1533-position model. The record is from RNAcentral.